Molecule: long non-coding RNA, 1645 nt
Organism: Daucus carota subsp. sativus
Lineage: Eukaryota; Viridiplantae; Streptophyta; Magnoliopsida; Apiales; Apiaceae
Exons: 2
Source: RefSeq, a predicted model, not a curated record
AUUGAUAGUAAAUGGACGGACUUGCCCUGAAAGACACUUGGUUGUAAACAGGAUAUGCGAGCUUGAGCCUUCAAGAAUCAAGAUAGAACUGUCAAUCACACCACCAUCUGCUUAAAUCCAGGAUUUUAGAGAAAUGGCAACGGAGAAAACGACGUCGUUUGAUGACCUUCCUCAAGAACUUGCCGAUAACAUCCUCUUAAGACUCCCGGUCAAAGCCCUGAUCAGGUCAACAUCAGUUAACAAAAAACGGUACUCUCUAAUCACAAACCCUAAUUUCAUUUCUGCUCAAAUCAAGAAUGCUAUCUCACAUUGCGAUGAUAAUUUAGUGUUAAUUGUCCCCUGCCUUAUCUCUGAAGAGAAACAUUGUUCCUUAAUCUCUGUUGAAACUUCGGAACUUGUCGAAAAAUUUGAGGUUCCCUUUACUACUAGGAGUGACUACUGGAUACUAGUUAAUUCAGUAGAUGGACUUAUGUUAUUGACUGGUAUUACUGUGUUUAAUCGUACUACUACACAUUUGUAUUUGUGGAACCCUUGUCUUAAAACUUACCGAAUCCUUGUUUCUUCCUGUUUCGAGAAAGUUCUUGGUGACAGGGAAAGAUUUUAUUUGGUUGGGUUGGGGUUUAAUAAAGUUAGUAAUGAUUAUAGAGUUGUUAGGAUUGUUUAUUUUUAGGACAAAAUGGAUUUGCCUAAGGUCGAGGUUUAUAGUUUGAGGGAACGGACGUGGAAGGAGAUUAAAGACCCUGUAGUUCCUAGGAGGAGUUUGCGUGACUGUGAAGGGGUUUAUUUAAAUGGGAGAAUUUACUGGAUGGAAGUGGAAAGGUCCUUCAGUGUGGAAUCUUCUCCUUAUGUUAGUAAAGAUUUACGGAUGUUGUCGUUUGACUUUGAUACUGAGGUGUUUGGGGAAGUGAAAGUUCCAGAGGAGGUUUCCAAUUGUUUAGGAGUAGGCGCCGGUUUUAAGCUGAUGGAGUUUGAUGGUUCUCUUGCUCUUUGUGUUAGUAACAUACAGGUUAGGAAUGGAUUGUUCAUCAUACCUUAUCGUAUAUGGUUGAUGAGGUUAGACAAUGGUGUUAUUUCUUGGAUUUUACGUUUUACAAAUGAACUCAAGGAACCUGGGCUAGUAAUGAAUAUUACAAAGACCGGAACAAUUUUAGUACAGAGACUUCCCUCGCUGCCUGUUCAUGCCAUUACACGCAUAUUCUCAUGCAAUCUCAAUACCAUGCAUUAUAAAGAUCUUGGACUUGGUGGGCGUUGGGGUGAAGAGGAUUUCCCGACAAUGCCGCAUUGUAUUGUAGACACUUCUUUCAUAGAGAGUUUGGUCAUGUACGAAGGAGGAAAGUCUCUGUUAAAAUUUUCAAAGUGAGCAAUCAUGAGUCUUUGGGUGGUAUAGUUGCUGAUCUUACUUUGAAAGUCCUGCUUAGGUGCUGCAUAUGUAUAUGAAGUCCUUUAAAGACGCCAGUUUUUGCUGAGGGAAUUCUGUGGAAGAUCUUUGAACUUGACAUAAUGUAAUCUAAUCAAGCAAUCGAACAAUAGUUUUCAGUAUUGAUUUGUUAUGGAUACAUCUGUUUACUAACCUAUAAAUGCACUACUUUGUAAAUUAUUAAACAGCUUGCAACUUGCAACAGUCAAUUUUAUAUUUUGUAAGCUC